Molecule: long non-coding RNA, 342 nt
Organism: Formica exsecta
Lineage: Eukaryota; Metazoa; Arthropoda; Insecta; Hymenoptera; Formicidae
Exons: 3
Source: RefSeq, a predicted model, not a curated record
GGCAAAAGUAUCAAGAUUUCAAUGGCAUGCUUGAUGUAGAAGUUUUGGACUUUUUCUCCGGUAUGAACAGCGAAUGAAAAAGAGAGAGAGAUUCAUCUGACAUUCUCGAUAAAGGAAUCGAUGACGGAUGCGAGGGAAGAAUCUGCAGUGAAGCGAAAGUGCGUAACUUCCACGGCACCCGAUGCACACGUCCCGAAAGAAGGAGAGACAUAGAGAGGAAGAAGGGAACGGAACCCCACUACGUAUGCAAAUCCGACUCCGCCCUGAAUAAAAUAUUAACCGACCAAUCGAAUGUGGUGGUGGGAGGAAAGGAGAGAGGAAGUAGACGGACGCGAGUCUCCC